AUUGAACGCUGGCGGCAGGCCUAACACAUGCAAGUCGAACGGUAACAGAAAGCAGCUUGCUGCUUUGCUGACGAGUGGCGGACGUGUGAGUAAUGUCUGGGAAACUGCCUGAUGGAGGGGGAUAACUACUGGAAACGGUAGCUAAUACCGCAUAACGUCUCAAGCCCAAAGAGGGGGACCUUCGGGCCUCUUUCCAUCGGAUUUUCCCAGAUGGGAUUAGCUAGUAGGUGGGGUAACGGCUCACCUAGGCGACGAUCCCUAGCUGGUCUGAGAGGAUGACCAGCCACACUGGAACUGAGACACGGUCCAGACUCCUACGGGAGGCAGCAGUGGGGAAUAUUGCACAAUGGGCGCAAGCCUGAUGCAGCCAUGCCGCGUGUAUGAAGAAGGCCUUCGGGUUGUAAAGUACUUUCAGCGGGGAGGAAGGGAGUAAAGUUAAUACCUUUGCUCAUUGACGUUACCCGCAGAAGAAGCACCGGCUAACUCCGUG
Molecule: ribosomal RNA, 490 nt
Filed under: uncultured bacterium
Lineage: Bacteria
Description: partial 16S ribosomal RNA
Rfam family: Bacterial small subunit ribosomal RNA
Source: RNAcentral